This 253-nucleotide ribosomal RNA is filed under the name uncultured bacterium. RNAcentral describes it as "partial 16S ribosomal RNA". It matches the Rfam family "Bacterial small subunit ribosomal RNA", at positions 524 to 776 of the family's 1533-position model. The record is from RNAcentral.
UACAGAGGGUGCAAGCGUUAAUCGGAAUUACUGGGCGUAAAGCGUGCGUAGACGGUUACGUAAGUCGGAUGUGAAAGCCCCGGGCUCAACCUGGGAAUUGCAUUCGAGACUGCGUAGCUAGGAUGCGGAAGAGGGAAGCGGAAUUUCCGGUGUAGCGGUGAAAUGCGUAGAUAUCGGAAGGAACACCAGUGGCGAAAGCGGCUUCCUGGUCCAGCAUCGACGUUCAGGCACGAAAGCGUGGGGAGCAAACAGG